GUCGAGCGCACUCUUCGGAGUGAGCGGCGGACGGGUUAGUAACGCGUGGGAACGUACCCAGAUCUACGGAAUAGCCUCGGGAAACUGAGAGUAAUACCGUAUACGCCCUUCGGGGGAAAGAUUUAUCGGAUUUGGAUCGGCCCGCGUUAGAUUAGAUAGUUGGUGAGGUAACGGCUCACCAAGUCUACGAUCUAUAGCUGGUUUUAGAGGAUGAUCAGCAACACUGGGACUGAGACACGGCCCAGACUCCUACGGGAGGCAGCAGUGGGGAAUCUUGGACAAUGGGCGCAAGCCUGAUCCAGCCAUGCCGCGUGAGUGAUGAAGGCCUUAGGGUCGUAAAGCUCUUUCGCCAGAGAUGAUAAUGACAGUAUCUGGUAAAGAAACCCCGGCUAACUCCGUGCCAGCAGCCGCGGUAAUACGGAGGGGGUUAGCGUUGUUCGGAAUUACUGGGCGUAAAGCGCGCGUAGGCGGACCAGAAAGUAAGGGGUGAAAUCCCAGGGCUCAACCCUGGAACUGCCUCUUAAACUCCUGGUCUUGAGUUCGAGAGAGGUGAGUGGAAUUCCGAGUGUAGAGGUGAAAUUCGUAGAUAUUCGGAGGAACACCAGUGGCGAAGGCGGCUCACUG
This 624-nucleotide ribosomal RNA is filed under the name uncultured bacterium. RNAcentral describes it as "bacterial SSU rRNA". It matches the Rfam family "Bacterial small subunit ribosomal RNA", at positions 61 to 731 of the family's 1533-position model. The record is from RNAcentral.